Beta vulgaris subsp. vulgaris (sugar beet) is the source of this 131-nucleotide non-coding RNA. The record is from Rfam. NCBI's taxonomy places the organism in Eukaryota, Viridiplantae, Streptophyta, Magnoliopsida, Caryophyllales, Amaranthaceae.
CAGCAUUGCCGUUAAUGUUAGAAUGAUCGAAUCUUCCAUUGAACGUUUGCAAUAUGAAAAAUAGGACGAUUCUCUGUGACUUUUGAACUCUGUGCUUGUGUCGGUUGUGGACUCGAACAAAUUGCUACAUU